This is a long non-coding RNA of Chelonia mydas (Green sea turtle), 207 nucleotides long. RefSeq lists it as uncharacterized. The transcript has 3 exons. The record is from RefSeq and is a predicted model, not a curated record. NCBI's taxonomy places the organism in Eukaryota, Metazoa, Chordata, Testudines, Cheloniidae.
CCUCUUUACUCUUAUUAAAAACUGAGGCAAAGUAUUCACUGAGGUGUUGAGCCGUACCCAGAUUAUCUUUAACCUCCACUCCAUGCUCAGUUGUUAGUGGUCCCACUUCUUCUUUCCUAGUUGUCUUUUUAUGUAUAUGGCUAAGGAACCUUUUACUAUUGGUUUUAAUUUCCUUUGGGAGGUCCACCUCAACUCAACUUUUAUCCA